GUGUGUGAUGCAACACUCGUGAUAUUAGUACAUGGCUAUCAGAAGAAGUGAUGGGGAAAAAUAAAAAUAAAAAAUGGCUGUGCUUCAACAAUUCUGCAAUUGAAAACUGUUGUUUUAAAAGAAAAGAUUAUAAUAGAAUAAGAGCUGGGAUAUAAUUUGAAGAGGGAGAGGGGGAGUGAAGAAUUACUUAUUGUAACUUAUUCUCCAUAACAAUGAAGCUAACAGAUCAACCUGAUGUGGACGUAGAAUAUAAGCUGGUGUGGUUUAAUUAGAAUUAAUUUGAUAUUUUUUUAAAACUUGUAAUGUAAAUUCAUGUGUGUAGACAGAUUUCCUGAUUCAGCCAUACCUGCUCACUUAAAAGAAUUAAGCU
Molecule: unclassified non-coding RNA, 370 nt
Filed under: Hevea brasiliensis (rubber tree)
Lineage: Eukaryota; Viridiplantae; Streptophyta; Magnoliopsida; Malpighiales; Euphorbiaceae
Source: RNAcentral